GUGGGGAAUCUUAGACAAUGGGGGAAACCCUGAUCUAGCCAUGCCGCGUGAUCGAUGAAGGCCUUAGGGUUGUAAAGAUCUUUCAGCUGGGAAGAUAAUGACGGUACCAGCAGAAGAAGCCCCGGCUAACUCCGUGCCAGCAGCCGCGGUAAUACGGAGGGGGCUAGCGUUAUUCGGAAUUACUGGGCGUAAAGCGCACGUAGGCGGACUGGAAAGUCAGGGGUGAAAUCCCGGGGCUCAACCCCGGAACUGCCUUUGAAACUCCCAGUCUUGAGUUCGAGAGAGGUGAGUAGAAUUCCGAGUGUAGAGGUGAAAGUCGUAGAUAUUCGGAGGAACACCAGUGGCGAAGGCGGCUCACUGGCUCGAUACUGACGCUGAGGUGCGAAAGCGUGGGGAGCAAACAGGAUUAGAAACCCGAGUAGUCC
This 425-nucleotide ribosomal RNA is filed under the name uncultured bacterium. Its description in RNAcentral is "partial 16S ribosomal RNA". It matches the Rfam family "Bacterial small subunit ribosomal RNA", at positions 354 to 796 of the family's 1533-position model. The record is from RNAcentral.